AAAACAGAGUAAAACAGA
This 18-nucleotide small RNA is filed under the name Arabidopsis thaliana (thale cress). RNAcentral describes it as "ATSL221470". The record is from RNAcentral. Lineage: Eukaryota; Viridiplantae; Streptophyta; Magnoliopsida; Brassicales; Brassicaceae.